This 253-nucleotide non-coding RNA is filed under the name Streptomyces afghaniensis 772. RNAcentral's name for it is "Bacterial large subunit ribosomal RNA". It matches the Rfam family "Bacterial large subunit ribosomal RNA", at positions 592 to 844 of the family's 2925-position model. Lineage: Bacteria; Bacillati; Actinomycetota; Actinomycetes; Kitasatosporales; Streptomycetaceae. The record is from Rfam by way of RNAcentral.
CGUGACUGCGUGCCUUUUGAAGAAUGAGCCUGCGAGUUUGCGGUGUGUUGCGAGGUUAACCCGGGUGGGGAAGCCGUAGCGAAAGCGAGUCCGAAUAGGGCGUUUCAGUAGCACGCUCAAGACCCGAAGCGGAGUGAUCUAGCCAUGGGCAGGUCGAAGCGGAGGUAAGACUUCGUGGAGGACCGAACCCACCAGGGUUGAAAACCUGGGGGAUGACCUGUGGUUAGGGGUGAAAGGCCAAUCAAACUCCGUG